GGGCACGACACCGGAGAGGGAGCCUGAGAAACGGCUACCACAUCCAAGGAUGGCAGCAGGCGCGCAAAUUACCCAAUCCCGACACGGGGAGGUAGUGACAAUAAAUAACAAUACAGGGUUCUUUUGGAUCUUGUAAUUGGAAUGAGUACAAUUUAAAUCUCUUAACGAGGAACAAUUGGAGGGCAAGUCUGGUGCCAGCAGCCGCGGUAAUUCCAGCUCCAAUAGCGUAUAUUAAAGUUGCUGCAGUUAAAAAGCUCGUAGUUGAAUUUCGGGACCAUCAUGUCGGUCGUGCCUCGGUACGUACUGGCAUUAUUGGUUUCUCCCUUCUGACGAACCAUGAUGUCAUUUAUUUGGUGUUGUGGGGAAUCAGGACUGUUACUUUGAAAAAAUUAGAGUGUUUAAAGCAGGCUCACGCUUGAAUACAUUAGCAUGGAAUAAUGAAAUAGGACGUUUGAUUCUAUUUUGUUGGUUUCUAGGAUCGACGUAAUGAUUAAUAGGGAUAGUUGGGGGCAUUAGUAUUCAAUUGUCAGAGGUGAAAUUCUUGGAUUUAUUGAAGACUAACUACUGCGAAAGCAUUUGCCAAGGAUGUUUUCAUUAAUCAAGAACGAAAGUUAGGGGAUCGAAGACGAUCAGAUACCGUCGUAGUCUUAACCAUAAACUAUGCCGACUAGGGAUCGGAUGAUGUUAAUUUUUUUAAUGACUCAUCGGCGCCUACGGACUG
RNAcentral lists this ribosomal RNA (721 nucleotides) under uncultured Glomus. RNAcentral's name for it is "SSU rRNA". It matches the Rfam family "Eukaryotic small subunit ribosomal RNA", at positions 373 to 1092 of the family's 1831-position model. Lineage: Eukaryota; Fungi; Glomeromycota; Glomeromycetes; Glomerales; Glomeraceae. The record is from RNAcentral.